RNAcentral lists this ribosomal RNA (253 nucleotides) under uncultured bacterium. RNAcentral describes it as "partial 16S ribosomal RNA". It matches the Rfam family "Bacterial small subunit ribosomal RNA", at positions 524 to 776 of the family's 1533-position model. The record is from RNAcentral.
UACGUAGGGUGCGAGCGUUAAUCGGAAUUACUGGGCGUAAAGCGUGCGCAGGCGGUGAUGUAAGACAGAUGUGAAAUCCCCGGGCUCAACCUGGGAACUGCAUUUGUGACUGCAUCGCUGGAGUACGGCAGAGGGGGAUGGAAUUCCGCGUGUAGCAGUAAAAUGCGUAGAUAUGCGGAGGAACACCGAUGGCGAAGGCAAUCCCCUGGGCCUGUACUGACGCUCAUGCACGAAAGCGUGGGGAGCAAACAGG